Molecule: ribosomal RNA, 667 nt
Filed under: uncultured Gammaproteobacteria bacterium
Lineage: Bacteria; Pseudomonadati; Pseudomonadota; Gammaproteobacteria
Description: bacterial SSU rRNA
Rfam family: Bacterial small subunit ribosomal RNA
Source: RNAcentral
UGGUAGUCCACGCCGUAAACGAUGUCUACUUGGAGGUUGGUGUCUUGAAUACUGGCUUUCGGAGCUAACGCGUUAAGUAGACCGCCUGGGGAGUACGGUCGCAAGAUUAAAACUCAAAUGAAUUGACGGGGGCCCGCACAAGCGGUGGAGCAUGUGGUUUAAUUCGAUGCAACGCGAAGAACCUUACCUACUCUUGACAUCCACGGAAUCCUGCAGAGAUGCGGGAGUGCCUUCGGGAACCGUGAGACAGGUGCUGCAUGGCUGUCGUCAGCUCGUGUUGUGAAAUGUUGGGUUAAGUCCCGCAACGAGCGCAACCCUUAUCCUUGUUUGCCAGCACUUCGGGUGGGAACUCCAGGGAGACUGCCGGUGAUAAACCGGAGGAAGGUGGGGACGACGUCAAGUCAUCAUGGCCCUUACGAGUAGGGCUACACACGUGCUACAAUGGCAUAUACAGAGGGCAGCAAGACCGCGAGGUGGAGCGAAUCCCACAAAGUAUGUCGUAGUCCGGAUUGGAGUCUGCAACUCGACUCCAUGAAGUCGGAAUCGCUAGUAAUCGUGGAUCAGAAUGCCACGGUGAAUACGUUCCCGGGCCUUGUACACACCGCCCGUCACACCAUGGGAGUGGGCUGCACCAGAAGUAGGUAGCUUAACCUUCGGGAGGGCGUUU